GGUCCUACCACGUCUUGGAAUUAAGAAACCAGAUCCAUUAUACCAAAGAUAUACAAAUAAGAAACAAGACCUCAAGUCCAGCUUCCUUCAGUUUUUUUUUCUUGUGCAUAUUAGAUACUGUGAUGUCAGUGUAGUUGCAUCCAGUUUUCUCACAACUUCUAUAGCCAAAGUCUGCCAUCCACAUCCAAUCUCUAGAACCUCAUGGUUCUUCUCUACUUUCAACUGAAG
RNAcentral lists this long non-coding RNA (228 nucleotides) under Brassica rapa (field mustard). Its description in RNAcentral is "long non-coding RNA (BRAP_LNC007300)". Lineage: Eukaryota; Viridiplantae; Streptophyta; Magnoliopsida; Brassicales; Brassicaceae. The record is from RNAcentral.